UUAAUCUGAAUGAUCAGAAACAGUUGACCUACAGGUGGAUCCUCUUUGCUUCCAAAUGCAGGUAGUGCUCAGACGUCAGCAUGAAGACAAGCCCAUCCCACCCCAGACUAUUUUGAAGAAUGGAUUUAGAAUGGAAAUAAUUCGAAAAAAAAUGCUUUCUAGACAAUACGGAGGAAUCGUUUUCCUUUCAGUACACUCAACAAUAACUAAGAUACAAUUGCGGAUUGUUGCUCCAAUCAGUAGAUCUGCUAAAGGAAGUAAGUUAUAAAAGCGCUGUAUGCCGCGUUGCCCCGCCCCGUCCUCCACCCCUCUCCACCCCUCCAUCCCCCACCUCCCUGGCCUCAAGGAGACACAAUAAGGACAAACUACAAAGACCAAAAUUCCGUUCGGUUUUCAACUUCCUCUCCCGCCAAGCUUAGAAGUGACACCCACCUUCACUAAUUUCCUUUGCUGGCAGGAAAACCAUAGUUUCUUUUUCCUAUUUUCAGUUUCAGGAUAUUUUCAGAAUGAAUUAGCAAUUAUACGAAUAGUACAACUCCGCC
This 542-nucleotide long non-coding RNA is filed under the name Rattus norvegicus (Norway rat). RNAcentral's name for it is "long non-coding RNA NONRATT031531". Lineage: Eukaryota; Metazoa; Chordata; Mammalia; Rodentia; Muridae. The record is from RNAcentral.